AUUGAACGCUGGCGGCAUGCUUUACACAUGCAAGUCGAACGGCAGCGCGGGCUUCGGCCUGGCGGCGAGUGGCGAACGGGUGAGUAAUACAUCGGAACGUGCCCAGUAGUGGGGGAUAGCUCGGCGAAAGCCGGAUUAAUACCGCAUACGACCUGAGGGUGAAAGCGGGGGAUCUUCGGACCUCGCGCUAUUGGAGCGGCCGAUGGCAGAUUAGCUAGUUGGUGGGGUAAAGGCCUACCAAGGCGACGAUCUGUAGCUAGUCUGAGAGGACGACCAGCCACACUGGGACUGAGACACGGCCCAGACUCCUACGGGAGGCAGCAGUGGGGAAUUUUGGACAAUGGGCGAAAGCCUGAUCCAGCAAUGCCGCGUGUGUGAUGAAGGCCUUCGGGUUGUAAAGCACUUUUGGCGGGAACGAAAAGGACUGUGCCAAUACCACGGUUCGAUGACGGUACCCGCAGAAUAAGCACCGGCUAACUACGUG
Molecule: ribosomal RNA, 484 nt
Filed under: uncultured bacterium
Lineage: Bacteria
Description: partial 16S ribosomal RNA
Rfam family: Bacterial small subunit ribosomal RNA
Source: RNAcentral